AUGGCUGAUAGCAAGAGCGAAGUUGGCCUCAGAUCCACUGCCAGUGAAGCAGAUGGACACGGUGCCAGUGGGGACAUUGUGAUGACCCAGUCUCCAGCCUCUGUGGCUAUGUCUCAAGGAGAAACGGUCACCAUUGACUGCAAAGCCAGCCAGAGUGUGAGCAGCUACUUAGCCUGGUACCAGCAGAAACCAGGAGACGGUGCGAAGCGACUCAUCUCUGGGGCAUCUAACCAGGAUUCUGUGGUCCCUGAUCGGUUCAGUGGCAGUGGGUCUGGGACAGACUUCACUCUCACCAUCAGCAACUUCCAGGCUGAAGACGCCGCAGUUUAUUACUGUAUGGAAGGUUAUAAUAAUCCACCCACAAUGCUUCAGCCUCAAAAACAAACCUCCUCCCGAGGGCUAUAG
Non-coding RNA from Loxodonta africana (African savanna elephant), 405 nucleotides. NCBI's taxonomy places the organism in Eukaryota, Metazoa, Chordata, Mammalia, Proboscidea, Elephantidae. The record is from the annotation of a RefSeq genome assembly.